Molecule: ribosomal RNA, 207 nt
Filed under: uncultured bacterium
Lineage: Bacteria
Description: partial 16S ribosomal RNA
Rfam family: Bacterial small subunit ribosomal RNA
Source: RNAcentral
CGUCUAGGUGGCACGUCAAGUCAGGUGUGAAAUCCCUCGGCUCAACCGAGGAACUGCACUUGAAACUGGCGCGCUCGAGUACUGCAGGGGCUAGCGGAAUUCCCGGUGUAGGGGUGAAAUCCGUAGAGAUCGGGAGGAACACCAGUGGCGAAGGCGGCUAGCUGGGCAGAUACUGACACUGAAGCGCGAAAGCGUGGGGAGCAAACA